AGCAGCCGCGGUAAUUCCAGCUCCAAUAGCGUAUAUUAAAGUUGUUGCAGUUAAAAAGCUCGUAGUUGAAUUUCGGGGUUAGUAGAUUGGUCAUGCCUCUGGUAUGCACUGGUCUCACUGAUUCCUCCUUCCUGAUGAGCCGUAAUGCCAUUAAUUUGGUGUUGCGGGGAAUUUGGACUGUUACUUUGAAAAAAUUAGAGUGUUUAAAGCAAGCUAACGCUUGAAUACAUUAGCAUGGAAUAAUGAAAUAGGACGUUCGAUCCUAUUUUGUUGGUUUCUAGGAUUGACGUAAUGAUUAAUAGGGAUAGUUGGGGGCAUUAGUAUUCAAUUGUCAGAGGUGAAAUUCUUGGAUUUAUUGAAGACUAACUACUGCGAAAGCAUUUGCCAAGGAUGUUUUCAUUAAUCAAGAACGAAAGUUAGGGGAUCGAAGACGAUCAGAUACCGUCGUAG
Molecule: ribosomal RNA, 450 nt
Filed under: uncultured Glomeromycotina
Lineage: Eukaryota; Fungi; Glomeromycota
Description: SSU rRNA
Rfam family: Eukaryotic small subunit ribosomal RNA
Source: RNAcentral